This 241-nucleotide long non-coding RNA is filed under the name Homo sapiens (human). RNAcentral describes it as "non-protein coding lnc-GALM-3:3". The record is from RNAcentral. Lineage: Eukaryota; Metazoa; Chordata; Mammalia; Primates; Hominidae.
GUUCAAGCAAUUCUUCUGCCUCAGCCACCCGAAUAGUAGCUGAGACUACAGGUGCAUGCCAUCAUGCCUCGCUAAUUUUCGUAUUUUUAGUAGAGACGGAGUUUCACCAUGUUGGCCGGGCUACUCUCAAACAUCUGACCUCAAGUGAUCCACCCACCUCGGCCUCCAAAAGUGAUGGGAUUACAGGUGUGAGCCACUGCACCCGGCCUGGAACUCUUCCCAACACUUCUCAUACCCUCUG